Molecule: long non-coding RNA, 264 nt
Filed under: Elaeis guineensis (African oil palm)
Lineage: Eukaryota; Viridiplantae; Streptophyta; Magnoliopsida; Arecales; Arecaceae
Description: long non-coding RNA (EGUI_LNC052082)
Source: RNAcentral
UCCUAAUUAAGCCUGAAACUGGGGGGCAAGCAAUCCAAGCUAGAGAAAACAGGCCCUAAAAAGAUUUGCAAAACUUUCAUGAGCAAAGCUAAAGUCGAGGUCUGUCAAAUUAAAGGAUCAAGAUCCAUCCGAAGUUGGAUUGAAACCAAAUCGAAGCCUAAAAUGAAGCAAUCUUUAAGACCAGGCUAAGGACGCUGAACUCUACAAAAUCGAUCUCCAAGAUGUAAUUUCCCCCGAAGCCGAGCGUAGAAUGGUCUAAUCUAA